AGCAUACAUCUUAGCAUUGUCAGCUGGUAACAGAAAUGCCCAGAGUUUAACCUAAUGGCUGAUUACCUGUUUUUUAGGGGAUUGAAUCAGGAUAGUCUCUGAAAACAUGUAGAUCUUCUCUGUAAGAUAGGAGAGUCCCCAAAUGUCCCAAAAAUAAAACAUACAGAUCUUCUCUGUAAGAUAGGAGAGUCCCCGAAUGUCCCAAAAAUAAAUGCAUCGCUGUAGAGCUGCCGGGUCUCACACAGCGACAGUAAAUGCAAAUGACUUCGGUCUUGUGGAAAGAGCCAUCUGGCAGAGCUUUAAAGGUAAGUCCAUAUCUUUAUCCAACUCUACUUAGUGAGCUGAGUUCUGUUUCUGCUGGCCAUCUGCAGCUGCUGAGUCACUUUCCUAAUAUUUAUUGGUAAAUUGGAGAUAAACAACCAAUAUUUGAAAAUUAGAAGAAUUAGCAAACUGCCAAUGAGCUAGCGGUAGCAGCCUUCUGAUUCAGCAAUUUAUAACUGAUGUUAAUGAUUCAUAGUGAAUCGAAAAAAAAUGGCGUUUCAACUGGAUUACUACUUUCUAACUGUUACUUUAACUGUUUCUGUUCAACUCUGUGACUUUCAAUUUAACACAAGUAAUGCACUUCAAAAUAAAAACAUAUAUAACUUGACAAUAGAGGAAGUAAAGCCUCCAAAACACAAGUCAGCAAAAAGAUCAGAAUGAAAGCAUAGCAAACAGUCGCUCAAUGAAGCGAUGUCUUCUCCAAAGAAGUUUAUCCAAAGUCAGCCACUGUGGUUGUGUUGGUCACUCUAGCAGGAAGAGCACACCCAAGCUGAUCCCACAAGUGUUCACUGAGGUUGAGGUCAGGACUGCUGGUAGGCCAGUCCAUCCUCUUCACUCCCAAAUUCUGGAGGUAGUCUCUGAUAAUCUCCGCUCUGUGGGGGAGAGUGUUGUCAUUUUAGAAGAUAGAGUUCAAUCCCAGAAUGUGGAGACAUGGGAUUACGACUGGUUUUAGGAUCUCAUCUCAAUAAACAUAGUUUUUGAUAGAUCGAUAGAUAUACUUUAUUGAUCCCAAACUUGGAAAUUCUCAAACAUUUACGCCCAACAUGGGGCUCGAACCCACGACCCUGAGAUUAAGAGUCUCAUGCUCUACCGACUGAGCUAGCCGGGCUUUACCAGUGAAGGAUAUGACACCCACACCAUCACACAGACUCCACCUGAAGAUGUUACUCUAUCAAUUCAGCAAUCAGCAUAGCAUUCUAUGGGUCUCCUCCACACUUUGACCCAAAGGCAGAAUCUGGACUCAAAGCUGAAUACGACAUUCCUCCACAUGAUCAGGUUCCUCUGCACGUGUUGCUGACAUCAGUGCAAACGGGCCUGACAGUGAAGAGCAGUCAUGGUAGGCCUAAUGGCAGCACUAUGAGACUGGAGACUGGUUGUAUGUAGUCUGUUCUGGAUUGUCUGAGCAGAAAGUCGUCAGCCAUGUUGUCCUGCAAACCUUGACAGGCUUCACGGUGCUGACAGGGUAUGGAAACAAUCUUCUUGGGGUGUCAUCUUCUUGGCACGUCUCUGCCCCCGUUAUCUGGAACUUAGCUCUCAGUUUGGAAAUGGCUCUAGAGUUCACUCCAAUAUCGCCACAACUUCGCUUCACAUGGGGCCUUUCCAGAUUAGUCAAACCUGGCAUGUCAAAGCUUACUGACCACUGUAGUAGGGCCUAUGCUAACAGGUGUGAUUAAUAGACAUAUACACUUAUAAAUGUGUGUCUGUGUGUGCAUCUCAGCUCUGUACCAUAAGUCUGUGCUCUGAUAUAUUAAUGGAGCUGACACACCAGCACUGGUCAAGCUCAACAGAGAUCCACAGGGAGGAACAGGAAGUCAGACAUGAAGCAGCAAACAGCAUGUGGUCAGCAGGCGAUAUGUCAGAUGGUAUGAAUAAAAAAUGGUAUCUGAUGAUCGAUAUUUUGUUUUAAACUUGGAAAUACUCUCAUAUCCAGAUUCAUGUCCAUUACUGCAGGACGGUCACAACAAAACAAAAAGAAAAAUACCAAGCAAAUCUUUAUCUAGAAAGAAAAAAGAAACUAUGUCGUGUCCUCAUUGAUGG
This 2079-nucleotide long non-coding RNA is filed under the name Xyrichtys novacula (pearly razorfish). The record is from RNAcentral. Lineage: Eukaryota; Metazoa; Chordata; Actinopteri; Labriformes; Labridae.